This 392-nucleotide unclassified non-coding RNA is filed under the name soil metagenome. Its description in RNAcentral is "partial contains 5.8S ribosomal RNA, internal transcribed spacer 2, and large subunit ribosomal RNA". The stretch from base 1 to 122 matches the Rfam family "5.8S ribosomal RNA", at positions 35 to 154 of the family's 154-position model. The record is from RNAcentral.
GAUGAAGAACGCAGCGAAAUGCGAUACUUGGUGUGAAUUGCAGAAUCUCGUGAACCAUCGAGUCUUUGAACGCAAGUUGCGCCCGAAGCCAUCAGGUUGAGGGCACGUCUGCCUGGGCGUCACAUAUCGUUGCUCGAUGCCUAUCGCAUUGCGAUAGGACUUAGGGCGAAUGAUGGCUUCCCGUGAGCGUUGUUGCCUCGCGGUUGGUUGAAAAUCGAGUCCUUGGUAGGGUGUGCCAUGAUAGAUGGUGGUCGAGUUAGCACGAGACCGAUCUUGUGCAUGCUCCCCAAAAUAUGGCCUCUGUGACCCACACGCGUCUUUUGACGCUCAUGACGAGACCUCAGGUCAGGCGGGGCUACCCGCUGAAUUUAAGCAUAUCAAUAAGCGGAGGA